GCGCCCGUAGCUCAGCGGAUUAGAGCGCUUGGCUUCGGACCAAGAGGUCGGGGGUUCGAGUCCCUCCGGGCGCACCA
RNAcentral lists this transfer RNA (77 nucleotides) under Candidatus Berkelbacteria bacterium. Its description in RNAcentral is "tRNA-Arg". It matches the Rfam family "tRNA". From Rfam's summary of the family: Transfer RNA (tRNA) molecules are approximately 80 nucleotides in length. Their secondary structure includes four short double-helical elements and three loops (D, anti-codon, and T loops). The record is from RNAcentral. Lineage: Bacteria; Candidatus Berkelbacteria.